UCCCUUCUUGUCCAGGGUCCCUCCCCAUCUUCCUGCUCUUUGCCACUGCCCUGAAGAAUGCCAGGCUGGACCACACCAUUGACCACGUCCUCAUAUAUAUUGCACCUGCCUCCCUGAGACACAAAGGAGGGAGAAAACCCCCUACAAAUAUUCAGGGGCCCAUCCCCUUCGUAAAGCUGUGGGAAGAACACGGAAUGUUUCAGGACAGCCUAAAGAAGUGAAAGAGACUUCUAUAGACCUAAAAAGGGAGGCAUGCAGAGACUUGUUUGAUUUUGAAGGCCGCCUAUUGGUCAUCUGGGUGUGCCAUCCCAAAGCCUCUACCGAGGAACCUGUAAGGUGAGCAGUGGUGAGUGGGGCCCUCCGAACCCCAUCGCCUAACAGACCCAGUGGCAUUCAAGUGUUUGUGGCCAACAGCAAUGCUGCAGAGAGCCCCAGCGGGCAGAUCACAAAGUGCCAGUGUUCUGGAACAGAGAAACAGAACCUUGGCCUACUACUUGGUCCUGGUGGGGACAGAACUGCUGACUGGGAGCAUCAGCUGCCUGCCAUCCUGAGCUCCAUCCAUCACGGACUGGGUGUGAGCCGAUCAGUGCUCCCAUGAAGUCAGGCCUGUGCAUCUGCAAUCUGACAUCUCAUAGAGAUGGUGCAUUGAGAGCUUGCACUCGAGAAAACCCAGGAGGUACACAUCAGUUGGCUUAGACCCUGAGACAUGUCCUCUUGCUUGUUGCUUCCCCUCCCUCAAUGGACAUCUCCUGGGAAAUUCCCAAGACCAGAUGGCCGAGGAGGCCUGCUUCCAGAUGUGUCUCCAGGGCAGGCUGGCUCUAGCUGAGCACAGGCUGUGAGGGCAUUACAGCCCCAAUCUCUGGUGUCCUUGGAGGAUGGUAGAGAGUUCAUUUCAGGGGACAGAGCUUGAGCAGAGGAAUUUGUUACCCUUUCAGGAUUGAAAGAGCCAGAAUUUGCCUGUGCCAGUGAUUCUUCCCUUUCCCUCACUGCCUCAGGGGUAUCUGGCGAUGUCUGAAGAUAUUUUUGAUUGUCAUAUCUAAGUGCUACUGGUCACCAGUGGGUAGAGGUCAGCCAGGGACGUUGGUAAAUAUCUUACAACAUACAUAGGCCAGUCCCCUACCAAGAGGAAUGAUCUGGCCCCAAAUAUCAUUAGUGCCACUGUUGAGAAAUCUUGGUCCACACUGAUUUACAGGCAGGGGCAAAUAGUUAAUUGGAUGAUCAGGAACUUGUCACAAAAAUGGUGACAAGGGAGUUCCCACUGUGGCUCAUUGGGUUAAGGACCCGAUGUAGUCUCCUUGAGGAUUUGGGUUCAAGCACUGGCCUCUUUCAGUGGGUUGAGGAUCUGGUGAUGCCACAAGCUUCGUCAUAGGUGGCAGAUGCAGCUCAGAUUUGACUCCUGGCCCAGGAACUUCCAUAUGCUGUAGAUGUGGCCAUAAAAAGAAAAAAAAAAGAUUGGUGACAAGGAGGUGUGGUGACAAAGAGAAGACAUCUCUGGAUUGUCUCUGAGCAUGGAGAUACUGUGUCCCAUAUUUAUGCUCAUUUAAAGUAUCCCAGGCAGGGGAGGCUCUGAGGAGCCUGGCGGACACAAUGGCGUGUCCUGUGAUGCCAGUGGACCCUUCCAUCAGCCAUCCUGAGGUUUGCUCCAUGGGCCCCAUACAGGGACCCCAUUGCAGGCCUGGGGUCUGGGGAUUUUCCCUCCCCAAGGCCAGCCUGGAGGCCACUCCACUGUACUUGACUGACCUCUGGUAGCAGAGACCAGAGUGGAGCCCUCAUGAUGUCUCCCUUCCUGAUGUGGCCAGUCAAUCAGUCUGGCCGAUCACACCUGACCCUUUCCAUUAUGGAGGAAGAGCCAUUUUUCUCACCAGAAGAGAUGUGCUCUGAAUUCAGACCAGCAACCUGACUGCAAUGCUUUUGCUGAAAACUGCCAUUUGUGGGUUCGCUCAUCAUGAUGGAGCUUCUGGUGAAGAAUCUCAGCUUCCCAGGUGAGUGGCUUCCCACUCAGAAGAAUCUCAGCUUCCCAGCGAUGGGAUCAGGCACAGGGGACUACAUUGCUGCUCCUCCAACUGACCCAGAAGGCAGCUGGUCUGUUGGAGCUGGGGAAUGGUCCCCAGAGACUGUGAUGAAGCAGCUCCUAGAAGGUAGGGGUUCACGCUUACAAAUGGAUUUUGAUUUGAAUCAGCCAAAGCCCUACAGUAGGGUCUGCCAGUGGCCAGAACACAUGGUCUGAGAGUGGGGGCAGCUCUUGUCACAGUUUUGCCUUGUAAACAAGAGCCUGUGCUUCCCUGCCCCAAACCCCUAGCCCUUCGAGUUUAUACCUCUCUGUUCCCAAGGAGAGAGGGCCUCCUCCAUGGGCCAGGCUUUGGUGUUGCUGGACCCAGCCAUGGUGGCUUCUCAGGCCACUGGGUCAACCCAGAGAAGGGUUGGGUGAUGAACCCUAGUCAUCAAGGAAAACCUCAGCUGCUGCUGCAUGGAGAGGUUGAUCUGUGACAUUCAGGGGACUCUUGCGGGUGCCUUUAAUGAUAUCCAUGCCUCCCCAGUAAAAGUUAAUGGUCAAUCACAGUAUCCAACAGAAGGCAUGUGAUGAUUCAGACUUUUUGGGAAUGAAAGUUUGGGUUCUUUCAUCAGAACUGAGAGAAUCCCAACAAACUGAGGUUCUGGCUGAGGGCAAAGGAAACUGAUGGUUCUGGAAGGAGAUUAGGAAUAGCAGUUUUGAUCCUCUGGCUCCAGCCAGAGAUAGACACUGAGGGCUCUUUUCAAUUUCCUUCUUGCUUGGUGUGCAUGUGUGUGUGUGUACAGACAAUACACAUGUGUACAUGUAUGUGUAUGUGCAUAGACACCAACACACACCCACCCACACACACCCACUCACCCCCACACACAGACUUGCUCUUUCCUUUUGUCUCCAGUCUCUGUCAACGUUGCCCUGGCAACCAUUCUCUGCUCGCCAGCUGUACUUUGUUCUGAUUAUGCUUUCCUCCACUUGGAAGGUCCUGCCAUACCGUGUCUCUCUCAGGGAUCCCAGCCCCCUUUCUCAGAAACCUGCAUCCAGCCCCGAGUGCCCCCACCCAUGCUUGUAGCUUAUACACACCUGGUCCUUGGGCUUUGCCCCCAGCCCUGUGAUGAGCUUCACACUCUCUCUGUGGCCUCCAAUCCUUUUGUGGAUUUCAGUCUCUUGAUCCCUGUUCAAUGAAGUCCCCAUAUUAAAUUCUCUAUGUUAAGAUAACUGGUAUGACUUCUGUUUUCCUAAAUGAUACACUGAUUCCAUGACUUGCUGGGGUCCUAGAGAGCCUUCCAUCAAGUCCCUCAUUUUACAGGAUAUAUUGAACUUUUACAGCUAACUAGAGCCAGGAGAGGUGAGAUGCCUUUCUCAGGGUCACCAGACUUUCUUUCUCGCAGUACAAGCAUCCCACCAACAUUGUGUACAGACUUUUAAGCACCUCUCAAAGUUGCCAGGGGAGGAGUAUGCCUUUUGUGUGAGCUUCUCUGCCUGUCCUGCAAGAACAGCAAAGUCUUCUGUUCUCUAGCUGAGAAGAACAACUGAGCCAGAAACGGAAGGUGGUGCAUGGCGGGACGCUGCCUCCAGGGCCACAGCAUGGCCCAAAGGCCAGUCAAACAACUUUCCUUUCCUUACCCAACUGUGCCACCUACUACCCCCACCUCCCAUGGGCGAGAAGACUUGUGUGUCAAUGCCCACCCACCAGAUAGGCUGGGCACUGCUCCUGGGCAACCCCUGCAGCUGGGAGCAUGGGUUCUUCCACAGGGCAAAUUGGAACUGGAACUGUGGUUUCACUAUUUUAGGGCCACACUUCCGGCACAUGGAGGUUCCCAGGCUAGGGGUGUCCAAUUGGAGCUACAGCAGUCAGCCUAUACCACAGCCACAGGAACAUCAGAUCUGAGCUGCAUCUAUGACCCACACCACAGCUCACGGCAACACCAGAUGGCCAACCCACUGAGUGAGGCCAGGGAUUGAACCUGCAACCUCAUGAUUCCUAGUCACAAUUUGUUUCUGCUGCGCCAUAAUGGGAACUCCACCUCUCCAAACUUUACUUUUUGUCUACACAAUAGGGAUUUAGACAUCUCUCAGGGUUAUCGCCUGGAUUGAAUUCCAUGAUGCCUAAAACAUGCCUGACCCAGAGCCACUGCCCCCCCUCCUGCCCUAGCUCCUGGGAGCUGAGACUGCACCAGGGGCCCAUCACCUGCCUGGGACAGACAUGUGGUCUGGGACCCCAUCUCUGAGGAAGUGCACUUACUUUCUUUUAUAGACACAUGUCUCUCCUGAACAGAAAACAUCCAUAAAUAAAAAUCCACAAUAAAAUCCUUUUGUUCUCUGUGCCUUCCUGCUACCGUCCUCUUUAUAAUUUUUAAAAUUAUAGUUUGAUUUACAAUGUUGUGCCAAUUUCUGUUGGAAAGUGACCCAGUCAUUCACACAGAUAUAUACAUAUACACACACACACUCUCACACAUUCCCUUUCUUAUAUUAUCUUCCAUCUUGGUCUAUCCCUAUUUUAUUUUUAUUAUUAUUAAUUUUUUUAUGGUUGCACCCACAGCAUAUGGUAGUUCCCGGGGCAGGGACUGAAUCCAAGAUGCAGCUGCAUCAGAUCCUUAUCCCACCGCACUGGGCCAGAGAUGGAAUUCACACCCCUGUAGCGACUUGAGCCACUGCAGUUGGAUUCUUCACCCACUGUGCCACAGGGGAAAUCUCUCUGAUCAUUUUAUUUUAUUUUAUUAUUACUUUUGCUUUUUAGGGCCACACCCUUGGCAUACUGAGGUUUCCAGGCUGGGGGGUUAAAUCAGAGCUGCAGCUGUCGGCCUCUGUCACAGCCACAGCCACAGUAAUGCCAGAUCCAAGCCACGUCUGCAACCCAUACCACAGUUGAUGGCAACACCAGAUCCUUAACCCGCUGAGUGAGGCCAUGGAUCAAACCUGUAACCUUACGGUUCCUAGUCGGAUUCAUUUCUGUUCUGCCAUGGUGGGAAAUUCCCUCUGAUCAUUUUAAAAGGAGAGAAAUCUUUUGUCUCAUAUAAUAAAACUGAAUUACUUGGUUUACAUCUCAUCUGACGGGAAGAAC
This 5069-nucleotide long non-coding RNA is filed under the name Sus scrofa (pig). Its description in RNAcentral is "lncRNA (ENSSSCG00000057575.1, ENSSSCG00105000545.1)". The record is from RNAcentral. Lineage: Eukaryota; Metazoa; Chordata; Mammalia; Artiodactyla; Suidae.